CCUACGGGAGGCAGCAGUGAGGAAUAUUGGUCAAUGGACGAGAGUCUGAACCAGCCAAGUAGCGUGAAGGAUGACUGCCCUAUGGGUUGUAAACUUCUUUUAUAUGGGAAUAAAAUGUUCCACGUGUGGGAUUUUGUAUGUACCAUAUGAAUAAGGAUCGGCUAACUCCGUGCCAGCAGCCGCGGUAAUACGGAGGAUCCGAGCGUUAUCCGGAUUUAUUGGGUUUAAAGGGAGCGUAGGUGGAUUAUUAAGUCAGUCGUGAAAGUUUGCGGCUCAACCGUAAAAUUGCAGUUGAAACUGGCAGUCUUGAGUACAGUAGAGGUGGGCGGAAUUCGUGGUGUAGCGGUGAAAUGCUUAGAUAUCACGAAGAACUCCGAUUGCGAAGGCAGUUCACUGGACUGCAACUGACACUGAGGCUCGAAAGUGUGGGUAUCAAACAGGAUUAGAUACCCUUGUAGUC
This 460-nucleotide ribosomal RNA is filed under the name uncultured bacterium. RNAcentral's name for it is "partial 16S ribosomal RNA". It matches the Rfam family "Bacterial small subunit ribosomal RNA", at positions 338 to 795 of the family's 1533-position model. The record is from RNAcentral.